GCUGAGUUGGGUAGCGUCAACUUGUCACCCAAGUGGGAGCACUAAGGUUAUAGGACAUGACUAUGGCUUGUUGAGCUAGGUUGGUUUCUGCAAUAUGUUGGUUUGCCCGCUCCAAGUUGAGAGUUGGGCCACGGGAUUUGGGCGAAGGCCUUGGUCUCUUGGUUCCUAGAUUAAAGGGCACUGUGUGAGGCUGGUUUCACAUAGCAGCGAAUACCUCUGGCUCUUGAUAGUGGAGGGAUAACAAGCUGCUGCGGUUCUAGUCCAUUAAGCUUGGUGAGCCUAGCCUCUGAACCAUCACUUUU
This 302-nucleotide signal recognition particle RNA is filed under the name Medicago truncatula (barrel medic). Its description in RNAcentral is "SRP RNA gene31121". It matches the Rfam family "Plant signal recognition particle RNA". Lineage: Eukaryota; Viridiplantae; Streptophyta; Magnoliopsida; Fabales; Fabaceae. The record is from Rfam by way of RNAcentral.